AGAGUUUGAUCCUGGCUCAGAAUCAACGCUGGCGGCGUGCCUAACACAUGCAAGUCGAACGAGAAAGUGGAGCAAUCCAUGAGUAAAGUGGCGACCGGGUGAGUAACACGUGACUAACCUACCCUCGAGUGCGGAAUAACAUCGGGAAACCGAUGCUAAUACCACAUAACAUCGCAAGAUCAAAGGAGCAAUCCGCUUGAGGAGGGGGUCGCGGCUGAUUAGCUAGUUGGCGGGGUAACGGCCCACCAAGGCGAAGAUCGGUAGCCGGCCUGAGAGGGCGCACGGCCACACUGGAACUGAAACACGGUCCAGACUCCUACGGGAGGCAGCAGUGGGGAAUUUUGCGCAAUGGGGGAAACCCUGACGCAGCAACGCCGCGUGGAGGAUGAAGCCCUUUGGGGCG
RNAcentral lists this ribosomal RNA (403 nucleotides) under uncultured bacterium. RNAcentral describes it as "bacterial SSU rRNA". It matches the Rfam family "Bacterial small subunit ribosomal RNA", at positions 8 to 425 of the family's 1533-position model. The record is from RNAcentral.